GGCGCGGCCCAGGAAGAGGGCGCGUUCCCGCUCGUUCCGCGUGAGCGCCGCCGCACGUUCGAACUCGCGCCGCGCCUCC
This 79-nucleotide transfer RNA is filed under the name Planotetraspora thailandica. RNAcentral describes it as "tRNA-Arg". The record is from RNAcentral. Lineage: Bacteria; Bacillati; Actinomycetota; Actinomycetes; Streptosporangiales; Streptosporangiaceae.